GUUUCAGGGCGGGGUGAAAUUCCCCACUGGCGGUAAAUCGGGCGGUGUCAAAGGGGUGCCGAGCCGAUGAGUCCGCGACCCGAGCGUGUGUUGGUUCGCAUGCCGGCUGAACUGGUGAGAUUCCAGUACCAACGGUUAGAGUCCGGAUGAAAGAGGC
This 157-nucleotide non-coding RNA is filed under the name uncultured Collinsella sp. Its description in RNAcentral is "FMN riboswitch (RFN element)". It matches the Rfam family "FMN riboswitch aptamer (RFN element)". Rfam says of the family: The RFN element is a highly conserved domain that is found frequently in the 5'-untranslated regions of prokaryotic mRNAs that encode for flavin mononucleotide (FMN) biosynthesis and transport proteins. This element is a metabolite-dependent riboswitch that directly binds FMN in the absence of proteins. In Bacillus subtilis, the riboswitch most likely controls gene expression by causing premature transcription termination within the 5' untranslated region of the ribDEAHT operon and precluding access to the ribosome-binding site of ypaA mRNA. The record is from RNAcentral. Lineage: Bacteria; Bacillati; Actinomycetota; Coriobacteriia; Coriobacteriales; Coriobacteriaceae.